This 1784-nucleotide ribosomal RNA is filed under the name Salmonella enterica subsp. enterica serovar Senftenberg. RNAcentral's name for it is "partial 23S ribosomal RNA". It matches the Rfam family "Bacterial large subunit ribosomal RNA", at positions 1173 to 2925 of the family's 2925-position model. Lineage: Bacteria; Pseudomonadati; Pseudomonadota; Gammaproteobacteria; Enterobacterales; Enterobacteriaceae. The record is from RNAcentral.
UAACGGGGCUAAACCAUGCACCGAAGCUGCGGCAGCGACACUGUGUGUUGUUGGGUAGGGGAGCGUUCUGUAAGCCUGUGAAGGUGGCCUGUGAGGGUUGCUGGAGGUAUCAGAAGUGCGAAUGCUGACAUAAGUAACGAUAAAGCGGGUGAAAAGCCCGCUCGCCGGAAGACCAAGGGUUCCUGUCCAACGUUAAUCGGGGCAGGGUGAGUCGACCCCUAAGGCGAGGCCGAAAGGCGUAGUCGAUGGGAAACGGGUUAAUAUUCCCGUACUUGGUGUUACUGCGAAGGGGGGACGGAGAAGGCUAUGUUGGCCGGGCGACGGUUGUCCCGGUUUAAGCGUGUAGGCUGGUUUUCCAGGCAAAUCCGGAAAAUCAAGGCUGAGGCGUGACGACGAGGCACUACGGUGCUGAAGCAACAAAUGCCCUGCUUCCAGGAAAAGCCUCUAAGCAUCAGGUAACACGAAAUCGUACCCCAAACCGACACAGGUGGUCAGGUAGAGAAUACCAAGGCGCUUGAGAGAACUCGGGUGAAGGAACUAGGCAAAAUGGUGCCGUAACUUCGGGAGAAGGCACGCUGACACGUAGGUGAAGUGAUUUACUCAUGGAGCUGAAGUCAGUCGAAGAUACCAGCUGGCUGCAACUGUUUAUUAAAAACACAGCACUGUGCAAACACGAAAGUGGACGUAUACGGUGUGACGCCUGCCCGGUGCCGGAAGGUUAAUUGAUGGGGUCAGCGCAAGCGAAGCUCCUGAUCGAAGCCCCGGUAAACGGCGGCCGUAACUAUAACGGUCCUAAGGUAGCGAAAUUCCUUGUCGGGUAAGUUCCGACCUGCACGAAUGGCGUAAUGAUGGCCAGGCUGUCUCCACCCGAGACUCAGUGAAAUUGAACUCGCUGUGAAGAUGCAGUGUACCCGCGGCAAGACGGAAAGACCCCGUGAACCUUUACUAUAGCUUGACACUGAACAUUGAGCCUUGAUGUGUAGGAUAGGUGGGAGGCUUUGAAGUGUGGACGCCAGUCUGCAUGGAGCCGACCUUGAAAUACCACCCUUUAAUGUUUGAUGUUCUAACGUGGACCCGUAAUCCGGGUUGCGGACAGUGUCUGGUGGGUAGUUUGACUGGGGCGGUCUCCUCCUAAAGAGUAACGGAGGAGCACGAAGGUUGGCUAAUCCUGGUCGGACAUCAGGAGGUUAGUGCAAUGGCAUAAGCCAGCUUGACUGCGAGCGUGACGGCGCGAGCAGGUGCGAAAGCAGGUCAUAGUGAUCCGGUGGUUCUGAAUGGAAGGGCCAUCGCUCAACGGAUAAAAGGUACUCCGGGGAUAACAGGCUGAUACCGCCCAAGAGUUCAUAUCGACGGCGGUGUUUGGCACCUCGAUGUCGGCUCAUCACAUCCUGGGGCUGAAGUAGGUCCCAAGGGUAUGGCUGUUCGCCAUUUAAAGUGGUACGCGAGCUGGGUUUAGAACGUCGUGAGACAGUUCGGUCCCUAUCUGCCGUGGGCGCUGGAGAACUGAGGGGGGCUGCUCCUAGUACGAGAGGACCGGAGUGGACGCAUCACUGGUGUUCGGGUUGUCAUGCCAAUGGCACUGCCCGGUAGCUAAAUGCGGAAGAGAUAAGUGCUGAAAGCAUCUAAGCACGAAACUUGCCCCGAGAUGAGUUCUCCCUGAGACUUAGAGUCUCCUGAAGGAACGUUGAAGACGACGACGUUGAUAGGCCGGGUGUGUAAGCGCAGCGAUGCGUUGAGCUAACCGGUACUAAUGAACCGUGAGGCUUAACCUUACAACGCCAAAG